Molecule: long non-coding RNA, 24483 nt
Filed under: Gossypium barbadense (sea-island cotton)
Lineage: Eukaryota; Viridiplantae; Streptophyta; Magnoliopsida; Malvales; Malvaceae
Description: long non-coding RNA (GBAR_LNC010965)
Source: RNAcentral
CAACCUCUUAAAAUGAAAAAAAAUUUAUUUAAGUCUUUUAAUUUUUUUAAAAUUAAAUUUCGGCCUUCUCUAAAAAAAAUUUCUAGGUUCAUCUCUGGCUAAAAUGUCACAGUAGCACAAACAAAUGGUGCUAGUGUAGAAGGACUAACCUAAUUGAUGAAAUACAUGUUCAAGGAUCAACUAAGUUCAAAAAAGUUUUAAGGACCAACUAAGUACAAAUAGACAAUUUCAAAGACCAAAUUAUAUAUCUCUAUCUGAUAUUUGUAUAAAGCGUCUCUCACUUUUAGUAAACUUUAGAUCAGAUACUUAAUAAAAUUAUAUAUAAUCCAUGAAAGAUCUAUCAAUAGUUUGGUCACAACUCAAUGAUGGAUAAAUUUUCAUUAUAAUAUAUAUAUAUAUAUAUAUAUAUACUUACAUGUGAAUGACAUGGCAGGUAGUGUUAUUGUUGAAGGAGCAAUCACAAGUAACAUUAUUAUCAUAAUAACGUGUGGAUUGGUUCAACCAAGUAUCACCUUGAUCGCAUGGAUUAAUAUCAAAGUUCCAGUCUGUCUUCCCCAAUGUUUUACCAAUACUUCUCAAAGCUUCCACUAUAACAAAAGAAAAAAGGUACUGAAAUUUAUUAAAAGAAAUAAUUAAGCAAAUUAAGCUUCUUUCUAGAGUAAUAUUAUGAAUUACCUUCAUCAUUUGGAAGUGUAGCUCCAUUUGUAAGAGUUGUGAGGCAACACACUAUGAAUAUUGAAGCAAAAAGGAGUCGAUGAAUGAACAUGUUGGAGGAUUUUUGGAGAGGGAUACUAGAGCUCCUUUUUGCUUGAUUUGAAUGAACAAAAAAUGGAUUGAAAGAUUGGGUUUUUCAUAAAGAUAUUAGACCAUGAAAUUUUGGGAAGUUUCUUUGAAAAUGAAUCAAAAAGCAAGAGGAAGAAAAUCAUCCGGCCGCCUAUGGAGAAAAAUGGAAAAAGAGAGGUAGAGUGGACACUUUAGUUUGAGAUAUGAAAAAUGUUCAAUUAUUGUACUGUUUCUGGAUGUUUUGUAUGACUUUGCAAAUGAAAAUACUUUAUUAUAUUAGCAAGUUGUUAAAAUAUCUUGCAUGGGAGGUCCCAUACUUGUACGUUGAAGCGGAAAAUGUUUAUUCAGAAAAAAAAAACUAAAUAUUUAUGAAUAGGGUCAAAAUUUAAUUUGAGAAAUAAUUACAUACUCAUAUUCAAUUUGAGUUGACUAUUUUUUUAAUAUUUGAUAUAAUAUUAGAAAAAAUUAAUUUCAUAAGAAAGGUUGAAAUACUGUCUGUAUAUAAACAAAUUUUCUUUCAAGUAUUUUUAAAUUGAUUUUAAAUUGGAGCUUGUUGUCACUUCAUGUUGUUUAUUUGCUGAAAUAUAAAACUAUAAUGAAAGUACUUGAUUAUAGUAGUCACUAGGGCUUGGUAUUGAGAAAAAUCGUGCAAAUAAAAUAAAAAUAACACAGAGGUUUAUUUACAUAGUUCGAUUUUCCUAUGUUUGCGAAGUCUAGUUUAGUGAGUAAUUUCAUUAUCUUUAAAUACGGAUACAACAAAUGAUUCACACUCCAUCACUCCCCAAGUAUAGAGAUCUCAUAUUUAUACCAAAAAACUAGAAUACUAACUCCAAAUCCCCUUCGAGAACUUGGGCAUCAAACACCCUCAAUAAUCUUUACAAUAUAAUUUACUCUCUCUCAUAAAACUGUUAUUUAAUGAAUAGAUUCGAAUACACUCAAUAAAUUUUUAUACAAAAUUUAUACAAAAUCCACGAUGUCCAAAGCACGGUAGAAAAUGAAUCCAAAAUAAAAUCAGAUUUAUUCCUCAAUCUUUUGAACUAGUAUUUAACAAAAGAGGGCAAUGAUAUGAUAAAUGACCUAAUUAAUAUCAGGGUGAUACCUUGAGAAUGUCUAUUGACUUGCAAAAGUUUUACAUUCCAACUUGCUAUUAUACAUAUAUAUAUAUAUAUAUAUAUGAAUAGUAACUGAAAUAUUGUUACCUUCAAAAAAAAAAUUGAAAUAUUUUUAUAAUAUAUUAUUUGAUAGUGCAGAAAUAGUUGACUUGUCUUUCGGUUGUGUCUGGAAGAGAUUUUUUCCAUUUAGGAGAGCUAAGCUCUACUUGAAUUAUCAAUAAAUUAAUUUCAAUUAGUUGGCUUUAAAAUAUAAAUAUCAUUAAAAAUAAAAUUAUUUUUUAAUAUUUAAUAAUUAUAGGACCUUAUUUAUACUUGAAGGAUUAAGCAGCUUGGUAGGCCCAAUCUUGAAUAAGGAAAUUUUAACUUUUGUGUAGGCACGAUCUGGAUUUAAUUUGUAUUUAUUAAUUAAAUUUAUUUUAUUUAAGUUUAAAUCUAAAAAUAUAAAAAUUAAAAAAAUAUAUAUGUUUUGAAAUUUUCAUAUAUGAAUAGUGAAUUUUGGUUGAUAGGCUGGGUGAAAAAUUAAACCAUAUAAUAAAUAUAUUAAUAAAAAAUAAUAGAUAAACAAUAAAUGAUGUUUUGAUUGAAUGGUAAUAUAAAAAUCUAAAAAAAUUUAAAGAGACAUGAUUUUUUUUUUAAAUUAAACAGAUGAGUUUAAAUCUUAUUAUAUGUAUUUAUUUUUCUAUAUAAAAUAUAUAAAAUGAUAAAAAUAUUCUAAAUAUAAUACAGUUUAUUUUAUAAAGUGACAUCAAUUUAAUAAGAGGUUUUAUAAUAAGUAUAGAUUUGAAAAGGAAGAAUUACAUACAAUAAGAAAAAAAAAAUUAGUUUAAUAAGUUUUUAUGUUCUUUUGUAAUCGAUAAUUUAAAUUUGUUUAAUUCAAUCAUUAGACGUAUUUAAAAGUUGAUUAAUUGUUGGAACAAAAGUCCAAAAUUUAGGAGAGUAAUAAGCCCAAAACAUGACCCAAUUAAUAGCCCAACACUCAAACAUGCCCUAUGUUAAAUUCUUUUUAUUUUUAAUGACAAAAUUAUGGCAGAUUGGGUCUGCCUUUUGGGUAUUUUCGUUCGUUCGGGCAAGCAAAUAUUCGGCCAUAUUUUUGCUCAUUGUCCAUUGUUGUGGAAAUUUAAAAUUUUAACUCUUUAUUUAAAAUCAAAAGCGCUUAAUCAUUAUAUAUGUAUACUAUUGUCAAUAGACAUCUUUUAUCAAUUUGAAUAUGAUGUAUAUGAUAAUUAUAUUAGUCUAACACGGCACUGUAAUACUCAUACUAGAAACACAAGGCUCACUUGCUUGAAUUUCUGAAGUGAUUUGUGCAUCAUAUGUGGGAGUUGGCCUCGUACCUGGAAGCUUCGGCAAUGGUGCUUCGAAAUUAAUAACCUGAAUUGUUUGCCUUAUAGACGGUCUUAAAUGCUGGUCUGGAUGGACGCACCACAGUCCAACCAUUAACAAGCAUUCCAUUUGUUUAGCAUCAAAGUUCAUACAUAGUUUUGGGUCAGCUACAUCAGGCAACCGUUGGCUUCCAUAUGCAUUCCACACCCACGCUACCAACGAAGCUUGAGAUUCUUCAUAUUUGGGCUCUAUUGAUCUUCUGCCACAUGCAAUCUCUAGUGCCACAACUCCAAAACUGUAGACAUCCGAUUCCUUGCUAGCCUUUCCCGAUGAAACGCAUUCAGGUGCCAAAUAGCCCAUAGUCCCAGCUAAAUGGGUGGUUUGUGACGCUUUUGCAUGAUCCACUAGCCUAGCAAGCCCGAAAUCCCCAAGUUUAGCAUUGAAACUAGAAUCUAACAUAAUGUUGCUCGCUUUGAUAUCUCUGUGUAGUACGCAAUGGUCACCUUCUUCAUGUAGAUAGAAUAGUGCUGAUGCCAGGUCCUGCACAAUUUUAAAUCUCACUUCCCAAGUCAAUAAGGUUUUACCUUUAAAAAGAUGGGAAUCUAGACUGCCAUUAGCCAUCAACUCAUAAAUAAGUAUAAGUUCUCCUUUUUCAUGAUACUGACCAAUAAGCUUUACAAGAUUCUUGUGCCUUGAUCGGCUAAUAAUCUUCACUUCAGAUGUAUAUUCCUUAAUUCCUUGCUUAGAGGCCUUUGAAAUCUGUUUAACAGCAACAUAAGUAUCCAAGUCCUUUAAGUACCCUUUAUAAACUACACCAAACCCUCCUUCUCCUAGUUUUUCACCGUUGAAAUUAUUGGUCAUUUUAGCUAUUUGUACCAAGGAAAACUUCCUAAGUUCCAUCCCAUUUUGGAAUUCAUCGCUGUUGAAGCUGAUCUCCAUGCAACUGGUAUGAAGCAAAUGUAGCUGGAAGUUGGCCUUGCAAGCUCGUGACAAGGUUGCAGCAACUAUGGUUACUUGUUGCUGUUAGUUUUCAACUAAUGUUUUGUUAUUUUGUAAUCUAGUUUGUCUCUUGAACUUAGUUGGUAAUAUUUUGAUGUAAUCCAUUGAUUGAUUGACUGAAAUUUCAACAAUACAACUUGGACAAUUAAUUUAGCUAUUUUCAAUGUAAUAGAAUGGGGUUAGGUGUGUGAUUUGGUAGUCAUUUUGACUUGUACACUACAUCUUCUUUUGAUAUAUGUAAUGGCAAUCUGCCUAUGAUGGAUGUAUGAAAAAAAAAUACACUUCAUUUUUAUCAAUACUCUCAACUAUUCUUCAUUGCUUCUUAUUCUGUUUUUCCUUUUCUUCUUUUCCUUUGCUCGAUUCCCUCUUGUUUGUUCAGCAAGUAUCGUGACUUGCUGCAAAAGCCAAAGCCAUACUAGCUGCUUGCUUGCUAGAUAACACCAACAAUUGGUAUCUAGAGCCUUUGUCUUUGAGGACCUGUUCUACUUGACUCAAAAACUUGAAUGGCUUCUGCUAGCUUCUCUCCAGCAGCACCACCAGUCUUCACUGGUGAAGGCUUCCAUAUUUGGCUGGUCAAGAUGAGAACAUACCUUCAGGCGUUUGAUCUGUGGGAAGUGGUGAACUCUGAUGUUGAGCCAGCUCCAUUGAGGGCCAAUCCUACGGUGGCUCAGAUGAGGCAACAUGCAGAUGAGAGGACCAAGAAGCACAAGGCCAUGUCCUGUAUUCAGAACUGUGUUUCUGAUGUGAUCUUCACCAGGAUCAUGACCUGUGAGACCCCGAAGCAGGCUUGGGACAAGCUUAAGGAGGAGUUCCAGGGAACUAAGAGGACCAGGCAGCAGCAGUUUCUAAAUUUGAGAAGGGAUUUCGAGAAUCUGAAAAUGAAAGAAGAGGAAACUGUCAAACAAUAUUCUGACAGGAUAAUGACUGUUGUAAACAGUAUAAGGCUCCUAGGUGAGCAGUUUGAUGAAGUAAGGAUAGUUGAGAAGGUUCUCUCUACUUUACCAGAGAGAUAUGAGGCAAAGAUAUCCUCCUUAGAGGACUCGAGAGACUUGACAAUGAUCUCCCUAACUGAGCUUAUCAAUGCUCUUUAUGCUCAGGAGCAGAGAAGAGCCAGCAGGAUCGACGAGCACCAGGAGGGUGCAUUUCAGGCCAAAAGCAAGCCUAGCUCGAGUAAUGCUGCCUACAAAGGCAAGAAAAACUGGAGGGAUAAAUCCAAAGUUGAUGCCUCAAAAAAAUGGGACAGACCAUGCAAGCACUGCAAAAGGCCCGGUCAUCCAGAGGCCAGAUGCUGGUUUAGACCAGAUGCCAUAUGUCAACAUUGCAAGAAAAGAGGCCAUGUUGAAAGGGUUUGCAAAGAAAAAGACAAACCUGCCCAGAAUCAACCACAACACAAGGCUGCUGAGGCUCAAGUAGCUGAACAAGGCAGUGAUAGUGAAGAACAAGUGUUUGCAGUCUCAUGUUUAGCUGCAAAAGGCAAGGUUAAAAAAGGAUGGCUCCUUGACAUUGGCUGCACCAACCACAUGUCACCAGAUGCAACUAUCUUCAAAACUCUAGAUAGAAGCUGUAAGACUAGAGUAAAAAUUGGAGAUGGACACUGUAUUCAGGCAGAAGGCAUAGGUGAUGUGAUAAUAUGCACUCCAUUAGGUAACAAACUCAUCCCAAAUGUACUGUUUGUACCUGAAAUUGAUAGAAAUUUGUUGAGCAUAGCUCAGUUGCUGGAAAAAGGAUAUACUGUGGUCUUUAAAGGAAAGGAGUGCCAAAUCAGUGACCAAAAAAGGUCCAUACUCAUGAAAGUGGCCAUGUCUGACAAGAGUUUUGUUGUGGACUGGAAUAAGGACCUAGAUAGUACCUAUGCUGCUUCCAUAGAAGAAUCCAAGCUUUGGCAUCAAAGGCUUGGUCAUGCUAACUAUAAAUCAAUGGCUCGAAUGGUCAGCAAGGAUAUAGCUGAAAACUUCAUUAAAUCUGUUCAAAAUGAAGACGUGUGUGAAGUUUGUCAGUUGGGAAAACAAGCCAGGCUUCUAUUUCCUACAAACACAGCCUGGAGAGCCUCAGAGAAACUUCAAUUAGUGCACACAGAUGUGUGUGGCCCUAUGAAGUCUGAGUCACUCAAUGGCAGCAGGUACUUCAUUCUUUUCAUUGAUGAUAGUACCAGAUACUGCUGGAUUUACUUCUUAAAGAAUAAGACUGAAGUUGUUCAAGCCUUCCUGAAGUUUAAAACAGCAGCUGAAACAGAGACUGGCUGUAAACUAAAGUCUAUAAGAUCAGACAAUGGGACAGAAUAUAUUUCAGCUCAGUUCCAAGACACUUGUGCAAGAGCUGGCAUUAAACAUCAACUAACAAAUGUGUACACACCUCAACAAAAUGGGGUAAGUGAAAGAAAAAAUAGAAGCCUACUUGAUAUGGCUAGAUGCAUGAUAUUUGAGAAGAACUUACCCAAAAAUUUAUGGGCUGAGGCAGUAAAUACUGCUGUUUAUGUUCAAAACAGACUUCCAACCAAAGCUUUAGAGCAAAGGACUCCAUUUGAGGCUUGGUUUGGAUUCAAGCCAUCACUGGCUCACUUAAGAAUCUUUGGUUGCUUAUGCUAUUCACAAGUUCCAGCUGUGAAAAGAAGUAAGUUUGACAAAAGAGCACAAGCAGGCAUCCUGGUAGGCUAUAGCUCAGAGAAAAAAGGCUAUAGGAUCUUGGAUCCUUCAACAAACAAAGUAUUUGCAAGUAGAGAUGUUGUGUUCAAUGAGAGAGCAAGUUGGAAUUAGGACAAGAAUGAACCUGAAGCUGUCUCUGAAGAACUUGUGGUUGAUCAAACAGAGCCAGAAGAAAAUAGUCCUGAUAUGGACUUUGAUGAUGUGCCAAUCAGAGGUACCAGAUCCUUGGCUGAAAUUUAUGAGAGGGCACAUAUAGCCUUAGUAGAGCCAACCUGUUUUGAAGAGGCUGUGAAGCAUGAAGGCUGGAAACAGGCAAUGGCAGAUGAAAAUGCCAUGAUCGAGAAGAACCAGACUUGGAAGCUGGUUGAGAAGCCUGCUAACAAGAAGAUUAUUAGAGUAAAAUGGGUCUACAAGGCCAAGCAGAAUGCUAAUGGAAGUCUGAAUAAACUGAAGGCUAGACUUGUGGUAAAAGGAUUCAGUCAAAAAUAUGGACUGGAUUACUUUGAAUCAUAUACUCCUGUUGCCAGAUUGGAUACGAUUAGGCUGAUUGUUGGAUUGGCUGCUCAUAUGCAGUGGAAUGUCUAUCAACUAGAUGUGAAAUCGGCCUUUCUAAAUGGAAUCCUUGAAGAGGAAAUUUAUGUCGAGCAACCAGAGGGAUUUGAAGUACCUGGCAAGGAAGACUGGGUUUACAGACUAAGAAAGGCCUUAUAUAGCCUAAAACAAGCACCCAGAGCAUGGUAUGCUAGAAUUGACUCUUAUCUGCUCAGUUUGAAGUUCGAGAGAAGUGCUAGUGAGCCAACGUUGUAUGUCAAGAAGAAUAAAACUGAAACUCAGCUUGUGGUGUCAUUGUAUGUUGAUGACCUAUUGGUGACAGGAGGAGAUGAAGUUGAUUUGGUAGAAUUUAAGACAAAGAUGAAGCAAAUGUUCGAAAUGACUGACCUGGGGCUGAUGACUUACUUCCUAGGAAUGGAAGUAAGCCAGACACAAGAAGGCAUCUUCUUAAAACAGGAAUCAUUUGCUUUGAAGGUGUUGAUAAAGUUUUCAAUGCUGAACUGCAAGCCAACUCCUACACCUGUUGUAACUGGGUUGAAACUAUCAAGCCAUGAGGGUCAUGAAGAAGUCUGUGAAACUACCUACAGAAGCUUGGUUGGUUGUAUUCUAUACUUGACUGCAACGAGACCAGACAUCAUGUUUGCUGUAAGUCUACUUUCUAGAUUCAUGCACUGCUGCAAUGUACAACAUUUUCAAGCUGCAAAACGAGUACUAAGAUAUAUUAAAGGUACUCUAAAUCAUGGUCUCUUGUUUAGCAAGGCUGCAGAACUUAGAUUGAAAGGCUACACAGAUAGUGACUGGGCUGGUUCUAAAGACGAUAUGAAGAGCACAUCAGGGUAUGCUUUCACUUUGGGGUCAGGAAUGGUAUGUUGGAGUUCCAAAAAACAGUCUCUGGUGGCUCAAUCGACUGCUGAGGCCGAGUAUGUAGCUGCUGCUAGUGCAGUAAACCAAGCUAUUUGGCUGAGGAAAAUCUUAGCUGAUUUGAACUUAUCUCAAGUAGAAGCAACAGAGAUACUUUGUGACAACAAAUCUGCUGUUGCAAUUACAAAGAACCCUGUCUUCCAUGGUAGAACUAAGCACUUUGACAUAAAGCUGCAUGUGAUAAGGGAGAUGGAGUAAGCUUGUGAAAUAAAGCUGGUUCAUUGCAAUUCGAAGGAUCAAAUUGCUGAUAUCUUGACCAAGGGUCUUGGUGUGUCGAGAUUCAACAAGUUAAGGAAGCUCAUGGGAGUUUGUAGCAUGGAGCUCAAGGAGGAGUGUUGAAGCUGAUCUCUAUGCAGCUGGUAUGAAGCAAAUGUAGCUGGAAGUUGGCCUUGCAAGCUCGUGACAAGGUUGCAGCAACUAUGGUUACUUGUUGCUGUUAGUUUUCAACUAAUGUUUUGUUAUUUUGUAAUCUAGUUUGUCUCUUGAACUUAGUUGGUAAUAUUUGAUGUAAUCCAUUGAUUGAUUGACUGAAAUUUCAGCAAUACAACUUGGACAAUUAAUUUAGCUAUUUUCAAUGUAAUAGAGUAGGGUUAGGUGUGUGAUUUGGUAGUCAUUUUGACUUGUACACUACAUCUUCUUUUGAUAUAUGUAAUGGCAAUCUGCCUAUGAUGGAUGUAUGAAAAAAAAUACACUUCAUUUUCAUCAAUACUCUCAACUAUUCUUCAUUGCUUCUUCUUCUGUUUUUCCUUUUCUUCUUUUCCUUUGCUCGAUUCCCUCUUGUUUGUUCAGCAAGUAUCGUGACUUGCUGCAAAAGCCAAAGCCAUACUAGCUGCUUGCUUGCUAGAUAACACCAACAAUCGCCCAAGAGAACAUCAGAUAUUUCAUCAUCUAAUUUAUAACAGCAAUUCCACCAAAAGAUGCCUACAAUCAACAAAGUAGCAAACGUUGCUCCGGCCACGAUACCGGCCAUUGCAGCUGUCGAGAUACGAUCAACCUUUUUCGAUGGUUUAUAACCUACUUUAAAAACUUUACAUAUAAGUCAGUUCCAAAGACGACAUGAAAAUCUUGGUUCAGAUCAUUAUGUACAAGUGUUAUUAAGAUAUCAAAAAAAGAACAGAGGUGUAGUUCUAUCCAUGGUUGGAUAUGUAAUUUAAAUUUCUAGAUUAUGUAUGCAAAUUUACUUACAUGUGUUCAUAUGUUAUUAAUUAUUUGGUUUAUCUUAUCCACUCACAUGAGAUAUGGUUAUAAUCCUCCACAAAAUAAUGUAUCAUUAUUGUAAAAUGAGAAAGAUGCUUUGGUAAAGACAUGAGAAAAGAAUCAACAAAGUUUCAUCCUCGUCCAGUAAUGUUUAGAAGAAUUGAUGUUUGUGAAAGUGAUCAAUGCUAUUACCACAAAAGAAGCUUGGAAAAUUUUGUAAAGUUCUUUUUAAGGAGUUGGCAAAGUGAAAAGAUAAAUUUGGAACUUUGUGAAAGAAGUAAUUUGAAAAAAAAAAGGAUUAUUAUUUAAAGAUGUUGGCUAUUGUGAAUCAAAUAAAGAGAUAUGAAGAAACAUUGCAAGAUAAUAAUAUGAACGUAAAUGCUCUUCUUUCCUUGAUUCCAAAAUUUGAUUACGUUAUUUGUGUCAUUGAGUCAAAAUAUUUAGAUUGUAUGGCAGUUGACCAAUAAUGACUGAGUUACAAGAUCAAUAAGAAAAGUUUAAAGGAAGACCAAAUGAGUCAUUGGAGCAAGUUUUCAAAACCAAGUUAUAUUUAAAAGAUAAAUGAAAAGAAAAGCAUAGAAAAGUUGAUGUUGAGGAUGAGAAAGAGGAAGAGGACAUGGCUUUGGCCAAGGUGGAUGUGGAAGAGGUGAUCACAGUAAUUGCAACAAUGAUAGCGGUAACCCGUCAACUAGAAAUUGUGAAAGAGCAAAGACAAAAUUACUUGAGAUUAGACAAAAUGAGGUAUUCAAGUAUAAUGUUAAAUGUUACUUUUACUAUAAAUUUGGUCAUUAAAGUGCCAAAAUGAUAUUAUCAAAAAUGAAGAAAACAUCAAUCUCAUUAAAGAUAAACAAGACGUGGAAGAGCCAACUUUGUUUUUAACACUCAAAAAUGAAGAAAAUGACGAUGGAAACAUUUGAUAUUUUAAAAAUGAUGUAGAGCUUGAAGAAAUGUUAGAGACAAUGACUGACAAUCGGCAGAAGAUGCUGGGCAAGGCUGCUGGCCUGAAGAGUGAGGCUGAUCCGUAACAUCAACUGCAGAAGAAUGAGGUUCGAGUUGAUGAACAGUAGAAGGCCGAAAUACAUCCCCUUUCAUUUGUAAACUUUUCAAAAGUCCAAAUUCAAGGGAAAUAUCAUUCUAAUUUAUUUUUAAGAGAUAGCAUCCAUAGUUUUAUUAUCGAUGUUUAUUACAUUCUUAAGCUAUAAAAUAAUAUUUCGAGUUUAAGAUAAUUUUUUUAAUAAUAAUAUGAAAUUUCACAUGAAAAAUAUUGUUUUUAAUUAAAAGUUUACGGUUCUAACUUGAUUGCAAAGUAUUCAUCUCAAAUAAUGUGAUAUUUAUGUUGGAUUUCAAGAUAAUCGAAAGAAUCAUGAUGUUAGUAUAGGAGGUUUAGUCACUUGAACUUUGGAGCAAUCAGAGUUGUAGGGGAAAAGAAAAUGGUAAAAAGAAUUCUGUAAAUUAACUAUCCUAAUUAAUUGUGUGAGGCAUGUCUUCGAAGCAAGAACGCAAGAAGAGGAUUUUCCUUAAAAACUGACAUUAAAGGCAGUCAAGCCACUUCAACAUGUUCAUAUCGAUGCGUGUGGACAAAGUCAGCUGUCAUCAUUUGCUAAAAACAAAUGCUUUUUUUUUUUAUUCGUUGAUAAUUAUUGUAGAAAAACUUGAGUUUACUUCUUAAAGCAAAAUUUUGAUGCAUUAAAUUUUUUUGAAAACUUUUGUGGAAAAGGAGAGUGGCUAUGUGAUUAAGUCUUUGAGGUUUGAUAAAGGGGAGAAAUUCACUUCAAAAAUGAUUUUUGUUGUUUCAUAAUGAUAAAUUUAGUUUUAGUAUUUAUUUUUUUUGUUAUUUUGGUUUUUAGUAUUUAAAAUUUAGUUAAAUUUUUAAUUUUUGGUUGAAAAAGUUGACUGGACCAUAACAAUUUUAAUGGCAUUAAUGUGUCAAAUUGACAAUGAAGUCUAUUUUAAUAUUUGUAUUUUUUUUUUGUUCACUUUAGUAUAUAAAUUUGAUAGAUAGGUUCAUUUUUAUUUUUGAACUUGGCAAGUGUAAAAGUUUGUUGACAUGGUAAUAUGAUAUUAUGCCGUGUCAUCACUUGAAUUUUCUUUUUAAAUAAAGUGCCAAUUUAUCAAAUUUUUAUGGAUAAAAAAUGGACUUAUUUGUGAAAUUCAAAUACUAAAGGGGAUAAAAAAAGAUAUCAAAAUGAACCUAAUUAUCAAGUUAAGAAGCUAAAAAUUAUAUUAACCCAUCUCCACCCUUAAUCUUAUACAAUUUUUUUAAUUUUUUUUUAUACUAGAUAACAAUCAUAUCCUUUAUUCUUAUGUUUUUAAGAAUUAAAGAAAGUUAUUUUAUUUUAUUCUAAACAAAUUCAAUCUGCGGCUAUAUAAUAAUGAGAGAGGAUAGAAUGAAAUAAAGAUAUUAUUCAUUUUCAAUAAUUUUAUAUCACAUCAGUAAUUUUAUCUUGAAUUUCAGGAUAAAAAUACUGAAAUUCAAGAUGAAAAUAUUAAUGUAACAUAAAAUUAUUAGGAAAGGAAUACACGUUACUGUUUCAUACAAUUCUUUCCAGUAUAAUAAUAUAGAUUCAAAAUAGAGUUUUUAUUCUUUAAAUUUUCGGAUAAAUGCGAUUAAUCGGAGACAAUAAGAGUCGAUGGAAGUUGAAAACCUACCAGGAUUGAAAAUAGAGAUUCCUGAGAUUAGAGGACCGUCAAUGCCUCUCUCGGGGAUAGAAGUUGUCCCUUUUCCAGCCCAUCGGAAAUGAAUCUCCAAAGUGCCAUCGGUUACAUUUGCAUUGAAUCUUUGUACUCUCGAUAGGCCUGCCCCUCCUGCUGCUUCUAUAAUAUUGAAAUCUUGUUUCACCCGCUCUCCCUGCAAUUAUUAUCCAUUCCAUUUCACUUUCCAUGCAAGCACAGGUCGUAAAGCUUAGUUUUAGCAUUUAGCUUAAAUUUUAUUUUUUUUUAAAACACGGGAAUUACUCUUACGAAAAAUUUGACACUCAAUUCAAAUCUGGAUAACAAUAUAUAUAUAUAUAAAGAAUAGUAUAAACUGAAAUUCUAGCAAGAAUGACUGAAAUUCUAGCAAGAAUGAUAAUAGAAAUACCUGAAUGUAAAUAUCGAACAUCCUCUUCCCUAAGCUGCUAUAGGUUUCACCAUUAGUGAACUGAAUCUCGGCGAAAUGGAGGCUUACAUUGUAAGUUGCAUUGGCAAGACAAAAUGCGUAGUAAGUCAAAGAACUAGGCGAAACCCUUGCAUCCGUGUAUAAUUCAUCGCCACCAUUGCUAGAAAGUAUACUACUCUUCAAAGUCAAGACGUCGUCGGGGCGGUUAUUGCUUAGAAAAAUUCCGGUGCUGCUAAAUGCCCAGUUGGUACUUUGGUAAAAUGUCGAAGGCCCAGCUUGAUAGUUAUCGGCUUCGUAAGUGAUGCCAUUAACAGUUAUUUCUCCCCCUCCACAGUUUAUACGGACAAAGUGCAAAGCUGAGGAAAAUAACAAUAGUUUGUAGCAAUCACAUGGAAAAGAGGAGAAAGGAAACUUUAAAGAAUACAACACAAAAAAUAACACACAAGGAAGAAUUAUUUCUGUUAUGAAGGGAUACUUAAAGUUUUUAUUAGACACCUAUUUAACAUGAAUUUAAACUACGUGACCUCAUACCUACCCCUAUAUUAUUUCAAAAAAAGUUUGUCUCACUUUAAUUAGGUGGUUAGUAAUAACAAAUGGCAGCUAAAAAAUUGUUGCUAUAUUUGAUAAGUUUUUUAGUUUAAUCACAUAUAUCAUCAUCCAUUUUACAAUAUGAGCUUAAUCUUGUUUGGAUUGAGUUGUGUUGGGUAUGGGUCCCACUAUGUGGGAAACCCAUAUUUUCUGGCACAAAUGUUUUGCCUUCCUUUUUCUUUUGGUUUUGUCAAAAGCCAAUUUUUUGGCUUAUUAACGGGUGUUGGGCAGAAAUUUUUCUGCAGAGAGCUAAAGAAAAAAUAGAGAGAAAGAGAAUAGAAAAAAUCAGAUUUUCAAGCUUGGUGCAGCAGUGAUCAACUCUUCGAUCGAAGGUCCAUCCGUGGUUCGAUUGAGAUGAUUUUUGGACAGCAGCUAGGUGAUAAGGUGUUCUUGACUUUGUACGGUCGGAUUUUUCAUCCGAGUCUUGUAGCGUCGGAAAUACCCAUUUUUCAGCAGCUACGUUUUUGGUGAUGUUCUCUCAUUUUUCUCUCUUUUGCUAAAGAUUACAUGUUGUUAGCCUUGUCGGAGUUGAAUGCUUGUUGUAGGCUUGAUAUUGUUAUCUUGUAGUUGAACAUUUGAUGAUAGUGGAGCUCUUUAUCGGACUCUAAAGUCCCGUGGUUUUUACCCUUAAUUUAGAGGGGUUUUCCACGUAAAAAUAUUGGUGUCUCUAUUUAUUUUUGUUGUGGUUGCAUUAGUUGAUUUGUGGUUGAUUAAGGUUGCUAGAGAACAUAUCUUGUGCUAUUGUGCUUGCCAUAAUUUUUACAGGAGUUAUAAGGAGAGAAAGAACACCGGUUGUGCUUUCGCUUUGUUUCGGUUGUUCGGUUUCUUCCCAACAAACUGGUACCAGAGCUUGGUUAUUGUGUCAGAUAAUUAUGGAAAUUAAUACGAGCAAGAUGAUUAUGUUGAAUGGCACAAAUUAUCAACUUUGGCGGAAUAAAAUGAAGGACUUGUUGUUUGUGAAGGCUUUGCAUCUUCCGGUCUUUACUACUCAAAAACCCGAUUCGAAAAGUGAUGAAGAAUGGGAAUUUGAGCAUCAACAAGUGUGUGGCUUUAUUCGGCAAUUUGUUGAAGAAAAUGUUUACAAUCACAUUGAUCAGGAGACACAUGCUCGAACAUUGUGGGAGAAGCUUGAAAGCUUGUAUGCUUCGAGGUCGGGCAAUAACAAAUUAUUUUUGCUGAAGAAAAUGAUGGCGCUGAAAUAUAAAGAAGGAAUGUCUAUAGCUGACCAUGUUAGUGAAUUUCAGAGUAUGAUGAAUCAGUUGCUUGGUAUGGGUGUCAAAUUUGAUGACGAGAUUUUAGGACUUUGGUUGCUUGCUACUCUACCAGACUCUUGGGAGACCUUUCGAGUCUCACUCAUUAAUUCUGCCCCACAGGGUAUUAUUACUUUGGAUUUGGCUAAGAGUGGUGUGUUGAAUGAAGAGGUUAGAAGAAGAUCUCAGGGUUCUACAUCACAGUCCGAGGUGUUGGUUAUCGAGAACAGGGGGAGAAACAGAGACAAAGAUGGAAAGGGUAGAGAUAAAAGCCGAAGCAAGUCAAGAUCGAGAUACAAGAAUCUUGAGUGUCAUCAUUGUGGUAAGAAAGGCCAUAUCAAGAAAUAUUGCUUCAAGUGGAAGAAAGAGAACAAAAGUGGUGGUGAUAAACACGACCGGAAUGACGAUGAAAAAUUCGAGCGUGUUACUACUGUUACUCGUGAAGAUUUGUUAGUUAUUUGUGAUGAGAAUUUGGUCAACCUAGCAUGCGACGAGACUAGUUGGGUGAUUGAUACUGGUGCAUCACUUCAUGUCACGUCGAGGAAGGAAUUCUUCACAUCUUAUACUCCUGGUGAUUUUGGGGUAUUGAAGAUGGGUAAUGAUGGUUUGGUUUCGGUUAUUGGUAUGGGAGAUGUUAGCUUGGUAAGUAACAAUGGAACAAAGUUAACUCUCAAGGAUGUCAGACAUGCACCGGAUGUCCGUUUGAAUUUGAUUUCUGCAGGAAAACUUGAUGAUGAGGGAUUCUGUAACACCUUCAGUGAAGGGCAGUGGAAGCUGACUAAAGGCUCCUUGGUUGUGGCUCGAGGAAAGAAGAGCUCAAAUUUGUACUUGAUGCAAGCUUUGACUUCUCGAGAGACGGUGAAUGUGACACUGAAUGACAACUCAACUGAGUUGUGGCAUAAACGACUCAGUCACAUGAGUGAGAAGGGGCUUAGCUGUUUAGCGAAGAAGAAUCAACUUUCGGGUUUAAAGAAUGCUACACUGAAGAAUUGUGCUCAUUGUCUAGCAGGAAAGCAGAAAAGAGUUUCAUUUAGAAGCCAUCCUCCUCAUAGGAAAUCAGAGUUGCUAGAGUUGGUCCAUUCAGAUGUUUGUGGUCCGAUAAAAGUAAGAUCACAUGGUGGUGCACUUUACUUUGUGACUUUCAUUGAUGAUUGUUCAAGAAAGCUAUGGGUUUACACUUUGAAGUCUAAAAAUCAAGUCUUUGAGGUGUUUAAACAGUUUCAAGCAUCAGUUGAAAGGGAAACUGGGAAGAAGUUGAAGUGCAUUCGUACUGAUAAUGGUGGCGAGUACACAGGGUCGUUUCAUGAGUAUUGUCUGCGACAGGGAAUCAGACAUCAGAGAACACCACCAAAGACUCCACAGUUAAAUGGGUUAGCUGAAAGAAUGAACCGAACAUUGAUUGAGAGAGUCAGAUGUUUGUUGUCAGAUGCAAAGUUACCAAGAUCGUUUUGGGCUGAAGCUUUGAAUACAGUGACACAUGUGAUAAAUCUGUCUCCUAGUGUUCCUUUGAAAGGUGAUGUGCCAGAUAGAGUUUGGUUUGGUAAAGACGUGUCAUAUGAUCACCUACGUGUGUUCGGUUGUAAAGCAUUUGUUCAUGUUCCAAAGGAUGAAAGAUCCAAGUUGGAUGCCAAGGCUCGACAAUGCAUUUUUAUUGGUUAUGGUCUAGAUGGUGAGUUUGGUUAUAGACUCUAUGAUCCAGUUCAGAAGAAACUCGUGAGAAGCAGAGAUGUUGUCUUCAUUGAGGAUCAGACCAUUGAUGACAUUGAUAAGACGGAGAAAGUGGAUUCACAAGGUAGUGGUGACUUGAUCGAUGUGAAUCCGGUUCCCUUAGACUCUUCACCAGAUCCUAUCCAGGAUGAUGUGCAUGGUGAUGUUAGUGGUGACCAUCAGACUAUAGGUGACUUUGAUACUCCCAUGGAUGAUGUUGUGAAUGAUCAACAACAAGCACCUAUAGCUCCACCAGCAGUUCCACUUCGAAGGUCUUCCAGAGAUCGACGAUCUUCUGUCAGGUAUUCUCCUGAUGAAUAUGUUCUUUUGACUGACGGGGGAGAACCUGAAUGUUAUGAAGAGGCUAUGGAGAGUGAAUGCAAAGAUCAGUGGGUUGAAGCGAUGAAAGACGAACUUCAAUCCUUGCAUGAGAACCAUACUUUUGAAUUGGUGAAACUGCCUAAGGGCAAAAGAGCUUUGAAGAAUCGGUGGGUUUACAGGUUGAAGCAAGAAGAGAAGUCUUCAUCUCCACGAUACAAAGCUAGAUUGGUCGUCAAGGGUUAUACUCAGAAAAAGGGGGUUGAUUUUGAAGAAAUAUUUUCUCCGGUUGUGAAGAUGUCCUCUAUCAGAACUAUACUGAGUUUAGCAGCUUGUUAUGACCUAGAGGUUGAACAAAUGGAUGUGAAAACUACUUUUCUUCAUGGUGACUUGGAAGAAGAGCUUUACAUGGAGCAGCCAGAGGGUUUUGUUGCACAAGGGAAAGAGGACUAUGUGUGCAGAUUGAAGAAGAGCUUGUAUGGUUUGAAGCAAGCUCCAAGGCAAUGGUACAAGAAGUUUGAGUCUGUUAUGGGGGAGCAAGGCUACAAGAAGACUACUUCUGAUCAUUGUGUGUUUGUUAAGAGAUUCUCUGGUGAUGAUUUUAUUAUUCUUUUGCUCUAUGUUGAUGAUAUGCUUAUUGUUGGUCAGAAUGCUUCUAGAAUUGAGAAGUUGAAACAAGAGUUGAGUAAAUCCUUUGCAAUGAAGGAUUUGGGGCCAGCAAAGCAAAUUCUUGGCAUAAGACUGACACGUGAUAGAAAGGCCAAGAAAUUAUGGUUAUCACAAGAGAGGUACAUUGAGAAAGUACUUCAAAGGUUUAGUAUGGACAAAGCUAAAGCGGUGAAUACUCCCUUUGCUAUGCACUUUAGAUUGAGUGUUAAGCAUAGUCCUUCCACAGAAAAGGAGAAGGAAGAGAUGCAGAAAAUUCUUUACUCUUCAGCCGUGGGUAGUUUGAUGUACGCAAUGGUUUGCACGAGACCAGACUUGGCUUAUGCCGUUGGUACAGUUAGUCGGUUUCUUUCUAAUCCAGGCAGAGAGCAUUGGAAUGCAGUGAAGUGGAUUAUGAGAUAUCUUCGUGGCACUUCCAACAUGAAACUUUGUUUCGGCAAUGAGAAACCUGUUCUUGUUGGGUAUACAGAUUCAGACAUGGCCGGAGACAUUGACUCGAGGAGAUCUACUUCAGGUUACUUAAUCACUUAUGCAGGGGGAGCUGUGGCAUGGCAAUCGAGACUGCAAAAGUGUGUUGCAUUGUCCACCACCGAAUCAGAGUUCAUUGCAGCAACCGAAGCGUGUAAGGAGAUGCUUUGGAUGAAGAAGUUUGUGCAUGAGCUUGGUUUUACUCAGGAGAAGUAUGUCCUGUACUGUGAUAGCCAGAGUGCUAUUCAUCUUGGUAAGAACUCAACUUUUCAUGCUAGAUCUAAGCAUAUUGAUGUGAGGUACCAUUGGAUACGAGAUGUUCUUGAAGCUAAGCUGUUAGAGCUUGAGAAGAUACACACUAAUGAUAAUGGUGCUGAUAUGUUGACGAAGGCCUUACCAAGAGGAAAAUUUGAAGCAUGUUGUUUGACCUCCGGUAUGGAGGCAUUCCCCACAUAGUUGGAGGGGGAGAUUUGUUGGGUAUGGGUCCCACUAUGUGGGAAACCCAUAUUUUCUGGCACAAAUGUUUUGCCUUCCUUUUUCUUUUGGUUUUGUCAAAAGCCAAUUUUUUGGCUUAUUAACGGGUGUUGGGCAGAAAUUUUUCUGCAGAGAGCUAAAGAAAAAAUAGAGAGAAAGAGAAUAGAAAAAAAUCAGAUUUUCAAGCUUGGUGCAGCAGUGAUCAACUCUUCGAUCGAAGGUCCAUCCGUGGUUCGAUUGAGCUGAUUUUUGGACAGCAGCUAGGUGAUAAGGUGUUCUUGACUUUGUACGGUCGGAUUUUUCAUCCGAGUCUUGUAGCGUCGAAAAUACCCAUUUUUCAGCAGCUACGUUUUUGGUGAUGUUCUCUCAUUUUUCUCUCUUUUGCUAAAGAUUACAUGUUGUUAGCCUUGUCGGAGUUGAAUGCUUGUUGUAGGCUUGAUAUUGUUAUCUUGUAGUUGAACAUUUGAUGAUAGUGGAGCUCUUUAUCGGACUCUAAAGUCCCGUGGUUUUUACCCUUAAUUUAGAGGGGUUUUCCACGUAAAAAUAUUGGUGUCUCUAUUUAUUUUUGUUGUGGUUGCAUUAGUUGAUUUGUGGUUGAUUAAGGUUGCUAGAGAACAUAUCUUGUGCUAUUGUGCUUGCCAUAAUUUUUACAGGAGUUAUAAGGAGAGAAAGAACACCGGUUGUGCUUUCGCUUUGUUUCGGUUGUUCGGUUUCUUCCCAACAAGUUGUAUUUAAAUAGCAUUCGAACUUGACUUAAAUACUAGAGAAAAAGUCCACUUUCAUUUUAUUAUCCAUAUUCUGUAAAUCUUUAAAUAGAAGAUAAUACGAGUUUAAAUAUGAUAAAAUUAAUGUCCUUUUAAUUAUUACGAUAACAAUAAUAUCAUCUAAACUAAGUUGAAUUAGCAAAUGUAUAUCGGCAUUAACAUAGAUGAAAUGUCACAAGCAAUUCUGAAUAUCUAACAAAUAUGAAACUUGUACUCACGCUCGGCUGCGCAGUUAAUUUGGCUUCUCAAACAUGGAACAAUUCCUCUAAUAAAACAAUUAAAAAGCUUAGGCAUUAAAAUCCCAGAACUGAAGUGGCUGAAAGACAAAAAAUUAGUUUAAUGAUUGUUGUUGUGUUAACACUUACGAGUUAUUGACUCUUGCAAUGCUUGCGAACAAGUUCCUGCAGAUCCACAAUCAACCACAAAUGAUAUAUAUACAACCAUUUACAACAAAGAUCCACUAAUGGAGUUAGAGGAGAAGCUUGUCAUACACGGUAUUACUUUUUUGACAGCUUGAUUCACCUGUGUCAUUGAAGUUGUUGUAUGAAAGAUCCCUGCAAAGAGAAUAGUUUAGAAUAUUAUUUUCAUUAAGAGUCUGCAGGUAUAUUCAUAGAUAUCUCUAUUAAAAGCUUGAUAUCGGCAAGAAGUCUAUUAAAGACUGAUGAAUAUUAUUUUGGUUAAUCAAACUUGUUAAGCAUAUAAUGAAUGGAAUUCAACAUUAAAUAAGAAGUGAAUAUAUCUUACAUUUUUUCCUUUGUGUUCAAUAUCCAUUGAGGGACUGAUCCAGUAAAAUUGCUUCUAUUUAAGAACCUAAUAAAAGGAAAUCAUCACGCUUUUCUUUUUAUUUCCAUUUGUUCCAAAUGAGUAUAUAAAUAAAGGAAAAGGGAAGUCUACACUACAACUAAAAACCCUCCUUACAAAUAAUCCAAAUUAUAAAGAGUAGAAAGACUUUCUGGAAUUUCUCCACUGAGUCUAUUAAAGCUGAGAUCUCUACAAGAAAAAUUAUAAAAAUGAUGUUAAAACCACAUGUUAUAAAAAAUUUUCAAUUUAUCUCUUGAAUAAUCUACGUACAAAUAAGGAAAGGCCAAAAAAAAAAAAAACCAACAAUGCAUCAAAAUUCACAAGUAAUUAUGUCCUAAUACAAGUUAGGAAUGAAAGAAAAGAGGUUGCAAAUAUUGAAAUUCCAUUUCUACAAUCCAAGUGUUAAAAAAGAUAUGAGCAAACUAAACUUGAACCUCUCAAAAAACUUUCUUUUUACUUUUUUAGUGUAAAAGAAGAAAAUGUAAUGACUUACAAUAUCUUUAUUGUAGUGAAUGUCCCUAAAGAAGCAGGUAUCUCUCCAAUGAGAUUGCAAUUCCUCAACAUCCUGUAAUUCAAUCAUAAAUUAAUUCUAAUAUUCUUUUAAAACUCCUCAAUAUCUCAUAACUUUAAUAAACCUUUGCUUUAUUUCAAAGCCAUGCUUACAGUCUAUCCAAUUUAGGCAAUCUGGCAUUGAUAAAUAGUUGUGGAAAACUUGUUUCAGCUCCAUUCAAGUCACUAAUUAUUCUGUAAAACAAUAUCAAAAACCAUAUACAAACAUACAUAAGAAAUUAAAUUUUGUUUAUUUUUAACGUAAUGAACAUUGUCACGAUGUUUUAAGAUUAUUGGAGCUUACAUGUAUUCUAAGUUUUCUAAAGUAGCAUUAAUGGAUGGAAUUGGACCACUCAAACCACUUCCCUCCAUAUAUCUGCCAUUACAAAAAAGAUGGAUUCAUUUAAUUGAUUGAUAAAAUAAAAAAUAAAAAAUUAAAUAAAGAAAAUGUUGAAUUAAAUUCUCACGUCUGUUCGAGAUUUGUCCAAUUUUGGAAUAUGAAGUCAAGAAUCUGUCCUGUAAAGUUAUUGUUACUAAUCCGACUGUUGAGAAUACAAAAUUAUCAUAACUAUAUCAUGUAAAAUAUAUUGAAAAUUACGAAUGAUAUGUAUAAAAUACACUUUAUCCAAACAUAUAUAUAUUCAGACAUGAGAUAAAUUAGUAAAAACGAACGUUAGAAAUUAGAAUUGCUUACAAUUCCUUCAAUGAAGUCAGCCUUGCAAAUACUUCAGGUAUUUCACCAGUAAAUUUGUUGGAACUAAGAUGCCUGAAAAAACCAAUCAAUAGAUCUUAAAUCGUUAAUGUGAUAAAAAUACUGCAUAUAUAAUGAAAUGAAAUUCAACUAGAAUUAAAAAGGAAGAAAACAGUCUCUUACAAUCGCUCAAGUUUGGAUAGAUUCCCUAGUGCUGCAGGCAAAGUUCCAAAAAGAUCAUUGUUCUCAAGGAUUCUACAUAAUGUUUUUUCGAUAAAUAAAAUUAACUAACCACUAAACAAUCAUUAAAAAAAUGAAAAAAAGUUAUCAUCACCUUAUAUAUUUAAUUAUAUAAAAGAAAAUUGAUAUAAGCUAACUCACAAAGAAGUAAGAUUUCUGAGAUUUGCUAGCUCUCCUGAGAUUGAACCUGUUAAUCUAUUUCCAAGAAGGGAACUGAAAUACAACACAUCUUUUGCAUUUAGCAACAUCAUAUUUCAUAAUCAAAAGAUGAACUAUUGUAUGUUUCUACAUAUGCAUAGACACAGAUAAGAAAUUAAAGGAAAGAAACAUACAUGCUGACGAGUCGCAUAGAACCCCAUUCUGGAGGAAUGGGGCCACUAAGAUAGUUUCGAGUUAGGUCACUGUAAGAAAUCAUUUAAAGCAAGAUAUUAUUAGACAUAUAGUUAAUUAAUUGAUGUAAAGUUGUUGAAAAAAAUAAAAUUCAUUUAUAUAUCAUGAAAAAGAAAAUUUUGAAAUGUCCUUACAUUUUUUGCAGGAAAGGAAGACUUGUUAAGUUUGGUGGUAGAGUACCCAGGAGAUUUUGUGCUGUGAGUAAUCUGAUACAAAAACAAAGCGAGGGUUAUAUUGCUGAAAUCUUAAUGAAAAAAAUCGCAUUCAGAAUCAAUGUUUGUUUCAUCAAGUAGUAAAACUUUGGUAAUCAAAAGUCAUACUUUAAUUUUCUCAGUACUAACUUUGCUUAAAAUUGUAUAAUAUCCACUAGUUACAAAUGUAUUAUUUAUUUUUUUAGAUUUAGAUUGAUAAAUGAUUUUUAAGCUUUGUUGAAUCAAGGGAAAGAGUUUUACGUUGCCUAUUUUCGUUUUUGGAUUCAAAUUUUCUCUAUAGAAGAAUAAUAAGAGAGUAUUGUUUUAUUUGUAAAAAUAAGAUUUGAAAUAAAAUUUUAUUAACUAGAAUCUAUCAUAUCAAAUCAUCAAAAAUAAAAUUAAAUGAGAAAGCAUACCUAAAUCCAUUGAUUUCUUGGUUUUAAUAUUCAAAAUUAGCAUUUUUUUUCUAAAGAUGAGAUGUUAAGAAAAGUUAACUAUAUGUUAUUUGGGGACCAUAAAUUGAAUAGCGCUGUGUCUAAUUUACAUAUAUUUGUUUUUUUUUAUAAUUUAUGCAAAUACUUUAAUAAUUAUUAGGAUUUUUUUAUUAGCUUUACAUUUCAAUUAUCAAAGUAAUUUAUAUAUUUUAAUUAAUUUUCUUAGUUAAUAUUUUGAAUAAUCUUACUUUGAAUUAUUAAUAAAGUAAAUCUAUAUUGUACAAUGAACACUGGACAAAUGUUUGACUUAUGAUUUUAAUUUUAAAUACUAUUAAAAAUUAUCGAUCUACAAUAUAUAAUUUUUUUAAUAUAAUAUGAAUGCUCUAAUUAUUAUUUGAAAAUAUUUUAUUUUAUAUUUGAAUUGUCAAAUAAGUUAAUAUAUUUUAAUUAUAUUCAACAAUUCAAUUAAGAAAUUUAAAAAAUAAGUACAAUAAUUAUAAAUACUCUAUUUAAAACUUUGAUUAAAAAUGUUAAACAUAAAAAAUCAUGUGCAGCGUAUGUGACUUUCAAUAUUUUUAGAAUCUAACUAUUAAUCAACCUAAUUAGAUCAUCAAUUUGUUGGUUCGAUUAGUUCAUAUAACCUAAUUAAAUAAAUUAUUAAAAAAAUUUAAAAAAAACAAUUAAAUCGAUUUAUAUUGAACCUUGAAUCAACUAAUUUGAUAUUACUUUAUAGACUAAUAAUUCAAUCGAUUUUUAAUUUAACUGAUUUAAUUAACUAAUUCAAUCUAAUUGAGAAGUGACAUUAGAAACUAGUCAUAGAACAAAAAAUGCUAGUGUAUAUAUAUAUAUAUGAUAUUAAAAGGCAAUAAUGUAGAAGACUUAUAUUGGAUGGUAACUUGCUAACCAUUUUCAAAAGCUAGAGAGAGAGGGCAAAUCAAAUGAAAUCGGCAGCCAACAUGCGAUGUGGAUUCUGUUGAAUAGUCAGCAGUGGCUGUUAAAUUAAUUGUACUACCUUGCUAUCCACUUCCCACUACACCUAUCGGGCAUCGGCUCCAUUCAUGGAUUUUGAUUUGACAUUUAUCGAAUUAAAAUUAAAUAAUAAUACAUUUAAAUUCAAUUAUAAAAAUAUUUUAAUAAUUUAUUUAUUUUUAAAAUAUUAAAAAUGUGUCGAAUUGGAUUUUUUUUAUAAAAAUAUAAUUAUAUAGAAUUCGUUGUUAUUAAUAUACUAAUCAUAUCACAGGCUUUUAGCUUUUAUUAAAAUAAUUACAUAAAUAAUUUUAAAAUAGAACUAAUCUAUGUAGUUUUAUAAAAUUUUAAAUUUAAUUCUUAUAUUUUAAAAAUUAAAAAUCAAAUCCUCUUAUUCAUUUUUUUUUUAGCUUUUGUUAGAAUUUCUUAACUGAACAUAUUUGUUUCUUCUUUUUUUAAAUCACAUACAACAUCAUCAUAUUAGGAUAGCCUAAUUAAUAUGCUAAGUUGAUAAAUUUUGAUAAAAAUAUAAACAAAAUUAUAAUGAUUGGACUAAAAAUUUAAAAUUAGAAAAUUAGGACUUAAUUUUUGAAUUUUUAAGUAUGAUAACUAAAUUUUAAAUUUUAUCUAAGUAUAGGAACUAAGUGUAUAUUUUAACCUAUUAAUAAAUCUAAAAUUAAUGUUAUGGGAGGUGGUUUAGGGUUUACAUAAUUAAAGUUGAAUGUAGCAAGGAUAAUAAAAUUAUUUAUGAGAGAAGCAUUUUUUAUAGUGCAUUAAUUUUAUGUGAUAUUUUUUUCUUAAAAAUCCACAUUUUAUGUAGAUGUUGUUUUGGACACUGUUUCGUUUGAUCCGUUAACUUAGAGGGUUCUUUUUUCGGGUUAAAUUAACUUGUAUAUUCUUUAAUCCAUCAACACCUAUAAACUAAAUUUUGAAAAAAAAAAUCUUUUCAAUUAUUUUUUAACCAAUAAGAAAUAAUAGUGUAAUGCAUGUAAGUUCUUACCAAAAAAAAACCCUUAGGUAAUAACCUUAAGGUAGCAUAUUAUCAAAUAUCAUUUAAGUUUUUUAUUGUACAAUGUUCUUUCAAGUUGACUCACUUUCAUCUUUUAGUUGGAUUUUUAACAUAUAUAAUAUCAAAUCUUAAGCAUUAGCACAUGAUAAUUACACUUAUACAUAGAGUCAAUUCAAAUGACGUCCUCACAUAUUUGUAAAAUCUCAACUCUCUCUCACUUCUAAUAAAUUUUAGAUAUGCUUAAUAAAACCAUAUAUAAUCCAUGAACAAAUCUAACAAGUUUAGUCACAGCUCAAUAGUGGACAAGUUUUCAUUAUAAGAUAAAUAUAUAUACUUACAUGUGAAUGACAUGGC